Molecule: long non-coding RNA, 8135 nt
Filed under: Ananas comosus (pineapple)
Lineage: Eukaryota; Viridiplantae; Streptophyta; Magnoliopsida; Poales; Bromeliaceae
Description: long non-coding RNA (ACOM_LNC044809)
Source: RNAcentral
GGUAACGUAAUCGGUAACCGAGGCUAGAGAGGUGAGAAAAUAAAGAUAGAAAUUGGGAUUGAGAUAGAGAGAAGAGAAAUAGAGGUAGAGAGAUAGAUAGAUGAGGAUUGAGAGGUGAGGGUUAGGAAAAAGAAUUGGGAUAGAGAUAAGGGAUAGAGAAGAAGAAGGGUUUGGAGAAGAACCUUUGGGGGAGAAAUAGACUAUUUCAUUUUCAUUCAUAAUUCUGUUUGCCAUACAAUCUCGUACUUAUACUUCUCAGGAUUAAUACUGGAAUGGAAAUUACAUAAUCUCUUAGGACUAAACAGCAAAGUGACCAAAAAUGAGAUGCUGAUUGGUUGGGCUGCCAUUCGGGGUUGUUGGGCCACCUCUCUGGGCCUUCCGGUCCGGUAGUGCUAGUGAGUGGGUAAACGGGUGCCGGACUCCUCCUUCUCCGCAUCAUCCGCGACCCUGCGGGUUUUGGGCUCGCCUUUUUCCUCCGCUCCGAAGGCUUGAGGCUCCGACCCGCCUGCUCUCUUCUUCGCCCCAAAAACCAAGAUCCGUCGGACUUCUCCUCCAACCUCGGUCCUUCUUCUGCUCUCUCUCCGCUCCGAGGACACCCAAGCUCCUCCGCCCCGCCAAGGCUCCGCCCGGGCCACCCUUCGCCAGCCUGUUCAAGCUCGCCGGUCUGCUCCAUCAAGCGCGCUUUUCCUCACUUGCUGCGGCCAUUAUUUCUGCUCUUACUAUUGUAAAGUUAGACAUUUUUACUUCCUUCCCCUGCUAGCUAUUAGACUACUUAAUACUUCAGGUCAUUACAAUCCCUUCCCCUUAAGUUCAUCCUUGUCCUCAAGGAUGGAACUUUUUGAACUGGUUUUGGGAUCACCCAUUUGCUUUCCCAACAGCACAUUCUUCUUCUUCAAAAUUGCUUCUUUUAAGCCAUGUUUGAACCUCUGUUCUGUUUUCUCACCCCACUUUGCGCCGGUUUGAGGUGUUUCCCAUUGUGUCCACAUUCGCCUAACACCUCGGGUUGGCAGCACGGACGGCGGCUCCUGCUGGGGCGGGGGCUCACCCUUGGGCCUUCAGGCAGUCGCAACCGGCGCGCCGCCCGACUUGUUUGCUCUGAGAUGUGGCAAAGUGUAUACUGGCAAAAUGGGAGCUCUAGAAUUUUCUCCAUAGUCUUGCUGGAAUGCUUGUAGGGUAAUAAUUCUGGGUAUAUCUGUUCUUCUCCUUCAAGAACUCCCUCACUUCUUCUUUUAUCAAUAUGGUGCUUCAUUCCCUGACACCAAUUCGUAUUCGGUUGCUCCUUAAGAUUGCACUUGACCUGAUCACUUUGCUUGCACCAACUUACAAUCAAGUUCACUCUAGCAUUCUCAGAAGGGAUUGAGAUUGUAGGGAAAUAACCCAAUUCUCUAUUAGAUUCUUUCAGCUUGGCUUGCUCAUAAGCCAAUGACAGUGAGCUAGGGUGAGGCAUUUUAAUAAUUGGUGCUACCCCCCUCUUAUACCAACUAACAAGGGUUGACCUAAGGCAAACUCCUGUCGGACCAAGAAUUUGACUUAGCACUUGUACCUGCAAGUCUUGUGAUCUCUCUUGCUGCCUUAGCAUUGUUGCAAAUUCCACCUCUUGUUGAUCACUGAUUUGUUGUAUCUCAAAGCAUUUCUUGUUCACUCCCAACAGAACUGCGACAAAUUCUUUCUCUUGAGUAGAAUCUUUAACUUCUCUAAGUGGCUUUUGUAUGCAAGCAUGUAAUUCCUCCAUUAUUGCUCCAGAUCUAAUCCGAUAGUGCCGAGCUUCUAUUACUUGUACUCCCUGCUUGAUUAUCAUUGGUAGCUUGAUUGGGGUGACAAGCCUUUGCGAAAAUCUUUCUUCAAUGCCACGAGUGGUCACCUUGUUAGGUCCUGGAUCAAAAGGCACUUGCCUAUAUUCCUUCAUCCAAUCAAUUCUAAGCACUAUGUCAGAAUUUUCGAGCCUCAAUUCUCUCGAAUCAGCAAAGAAUUUGUGUCCUGGCUCCUUUCUUGCAAACUGAGGGCAAGAAUUUUCGCUUAGCACCUUGUGCUCAGGGUCUGCUAUCACUAUCAAGGGUGCAACCGUAGUAAACUCAACUCUGGUAGCUUUUGCAAUCCCGAAGUCAAUGAGGCUAUGCAGGUUUCGAUCAUCAUUCAAAAUUAAUUGGGUUUGGUUACCUGACUCCUUGAUACUCCUAGCCUCGUAGACAUUUCCUCCUUCUACUUGUUGUGGCUCACCUUCUUCUUCUUUUGCUGUCUCAGAUUCAGCACCCAUCUCAACCUUUUUCUGGGCUUGUAACACAUGCAGGGAGCUAUUCUUGCAUUGCUUUUCUGUAAUAUAUUCCUUUCUACAUUCUAGGCAAUGCCAUUGCAUCGUUGUUCGCUUACUUGUAGCAGUCGCUUCUUCAAAAUCAUAAUGAAUACUCUUUUUAGAUCUGCGAGCUGUACUUUCCGCGAUUUCUCAGGUACUCCCUACUUCUGCUGAAGUAGAAUGGCCAUCUGGGGCAUUGUGGGCAGGCCCGAGUAGAGGCGGCUGUGUUGCGAGUAGCUUCAGCAGCUCCUCGGGCUUGCUAGCACGCUCGCUCAAUGCGAUCUCUGGUCUUCUAUUGAUCUCCAACUGUAGAUAAUCACCACACUCUUGCUCCGACCCUGCACUUCCAGCUUCCUGUAUGUGAUCAUCCUCCUGCACCAUAAUUUCAGCCCUCUUUGCGGCUUCACAAUUCUGUUGGCAGCUCUCUACCGAAUUGGUUUGCUCGCAAGUACUAAAUUCUCGGAUUGGGUACCCCUCUUUUGCCGCUGUAAAUCUUUUACAAAUUGCAUCGGAAAACUCGCUCCAAUUCACCCUUGGUCGAUUAAAGAAAUAUGCUUGCUUCCAAAACCUUGCAUCACCCCCUAUGUGCCAGGACGCUACGCCUAUCCAUUGUUGCUCAGGAAUUUGGUAUCGGUCAAAAUACUGCUCGCAAUUUCGCAACCAUCCUUUUGGAUCUGUUCCGUUAAAGGUUGGGAUUUGCAACUUCAAGUAUGGUAUAUAUUGUUGCAGUGGUUGGUUUCUUGCAGGCCUAAUUGAUGUGGGUGUUAGCCUUUCCCUCUCAAUAGGAGCUAGUAUUUUACUUUCCAUAUCAUUCUGUUGAAUCACAAAAUUGCUACUCGUGGAAUUGUCUUGUACGACUUGUCGGCCUUCUCUGAUUACCAAAGGGGUGUUCACUGACUGUGAGUUCGGCCCUAAAGCUGUCAGCAAAUCCACUAGCUGUUGAUGCAUUCUAGCACUCUCUUGCCGCAACUUUUCAUAGCUCGUGGCUUCUUCUAUUCGCAAGGCUUCGUACUUCUGCUGCCAUGUUUGUCGUGAACUAUCCAUUUGGCUGAAGUUACUAUAUCAAGGUUGCGAAUGAUGCUAUCUUGAGGCUUAGAUGCUGCUCCUAUCCUUGGACAGUACUAAUUCUUCUCUUGGUUUUGAAUUUGAAUCGGUUUUCGCUCUUUUUUUUUUUUUUUUUUUUUUCCAAUUGUCGCCCUUGGACGCUACUGUGAUUGCUUCACUCUUGUUUGGUCUGAAAUUAUAGCUUGCUACAGUAACUACGCCGAGGUGCCAAUGAUGCUAAGCUGAGGCCCGGUGCGAUUCUAAUUCAAUAGAAUCCGCACUAGUCUUUACUACUACCUCGGUACAGCCUUAGUAUGUUUCCUCUGUUGCUAAUUGUGCUAGUUGGAUGAUAUUACCUUGUGCACGCCAAUUGCUUGGGGUAAUUCCCCACAGCUGCUGAGCCUCCAACGGUCUUGCUCCUGUUGAAUUCCUGCUGCCCACGGCCCUGGGACAGUGCCACUCUGAUACCAAUUGUAAUAUCCCUUAUGGCUUGGUUCAGGUUCUUGGUACUUCUGGUCGCGGAUCCGAGGUAACGUAAUCGGUAACCGAGGCUAGAGAGGUGAGGAAAUAGAGAUAGAAAUUGGGAUUGAGAUAGAGGGAAGAGAAAUAGAGGUAGAGAGAUAGAUAGAUGAGGAUUGAGAGGUGAGGGUUAGGAAAAAGAGUUGGGAUAGAGAUAAGGGAUAGAGAAGAAGAAGGGUUUGGAGAAGAACCUUUGGGGGAGAAAUAGACUAUUUCAUUUUCAUUCAUAAUUCUGUUUGCCAUACAAUCUCGUACUUAUACUUCUCAGGAUUAAUACUGGAAUGGAAAUUACAUAAUCUCUUAGGACUAAACAGCAAAGUGACCAAAAAUGAGAUGCUGAUUGGUUGUGCUGCCAUUCGGGGUUGUUGGGCCACCUCUCUGGGCCUUCCGGUCCGGUAGUGCUAGUGAGUGGGUAAACGGGUGCCGGACUCCUCCUUCUCCGCAUCAUCCGCGACCCUGCGGGUUUUGGGCUCGCCUUUUUCCUCCGCUCCGAAGGCUUGAGGCUCCGACCCGCCUGCUCUCUUCUUCGCCCCAAAAACCAAGAUCUGUCGGACUUCUCCUCCAACCUCGGUCCUUCUUCUGCUCUCUCUCCGCUCCGAGGACACCCAAGCUCCUCCGCCCCGCCAAGGCUCCGCCCGGGCCACCCUUCGCCAGCCUGUUCAAGCUCGCCGGUCUGCUCCAUCAAGCGCGCUUUUCCUCACUUGCUGCGGCCAUUAUUUCUGCUCUUACUAUUGUAAAGUUAGACAUUUUUACUUCCUUCCCCUGCUAGCUAUUAGACUACUUAAUACUUCAGGUCAUUACAGUCCCCUCCCCUUAAAAUCAUCCUUGUCCUCAAGGAUGGAACUUGUUGAACUGGUUUGGGGCUCCCAUUUGCUUCCCUCGCGGCACAUUCUUCUUCUUCAAAAUUGCUUAUUUUAAGCCAUAUUCUAAUAGCUGUUCUGUUUUCUUGCCCCCCCUUUGCGCCGGUGUGAGGCGUUUCCAACUGUGUCCACACUCGCCUAACACCUCAGGUUGGCAGCAUGGACGGCGGCUCCUGCUGGGGCGGGGCUUACCCGUGGGACCUUCAGGCAGUCGCAACCGGCGUGCCGCCCGACUUGUUUGCUCUGAGAUGUGGCAAAGUGUAUACUGGCAAAAUGGGAGCUCUGGAAUUUUCUCCAUAGUCUUGCUGGAAUGCUUGUAGGGUAAUAAUUCUGGGUAUAUUUGUUCUUCUCCUUCAAGAACUCCCUCACUUCUUCUUUUAUCAGUAUAGUGCUUCAUUCCCUGACACCAAUUUGUAUUCGGUUGCUUCUUAAGAUUGUGCUUGACCUGAUCACUUUGCUUGCACCAACUUACAAUCAAGUUCACUCUAGCAUUCUCAGAAGGGAUUGAGGUAUAGAUUGUAGGGAAAUAACCCAAUUCUCUAUUAGAUUCUUUCAGCUUGGCUUGCUCAUAAGCCAAUGACAGUGAGCUAGGGUGAGGCAUUUUAAUAAUUGGUGCUACCCCCCUCUUAUACCAACUAACAAGGGUUGGCCUAAGGCAAACUCCUGUCGUACCAAGAAUUUGACUUAGCACUUGUACCUGCAUGUCUUGUGAUCUCUCUUGCUGCCUUAGCAUUGUUGCAAUUACCACCUCUUGUUGAUCACUGAUUUGUUGUAUCUCAAAGCAUUUCUUGUUCACUCCCAACAGAACUGCGACAAAUUCUUUCUCUUGAGUAGAAUCUUUAACUUCUCUAAGUGGCUUUUGUAUGCAAGCAUGUAAUUCCUCCAUUAUUGCUCCAGAUCUAAUCCGAUAGGGCCGAGCUUCUAUUACUUGUACUCCCUGCUUGAUUAUCAUUGGUAGCUUGAUUGGGGUGACAAGCCUUUGCGAAAAUCUUUCUUCAAUGCCAUGAGUGGUCACCUUGUUAGGUCCUGGAUCAAAAGGCACUUGCCUAUAUUCCUUCAUCCAAUCAAUUCUAAGCACUAUGUCAGAAUUUUCGAGCCUCAAUUCUCUCGAAUCAGCAAAGAAUUUGUGUCCUGGCUCCUUUCUUGCAAACUGAGGGCAAGAGUUUUCGCUUAGCACCUUGUGCUCAGGGUCUGCUAUCACUAUCAAGGGUGCAACCGUAGUAAAACUCAACUCUGGUAGCCUUUGCAAUCCCGAAGUCAAUGAGGCUAUGCAGGUUUCGAUCAUCAUUCAAAAUUAAUUGGGUUUGGUUACCUGACUCCUUGAUACUCCUAGCCUCGUAGACAUUUCCUCCUUCUACUUGUUGUGGCUCCCAUCCUUCUUCUGUUGCUGCUUCGGAUCCAGCACUCAUUUCAGCCUUUUUCUGUGCCGUUAACAUAUGUAGGGAGCUAUUCUUGCAUUGCUUCCCCGUGAUGUACUCCUCUCCGUAUUCAUCGCACCGCCCUUGCAUCUUUGUUUGCUCACUUGGUGCAGCCCCUUCUACAAGAUUAAGAUUAAGACUCUCUUCGGAAUUGUGAGUUGUAUUGGCAACAGCUUUUAUGGUACUUCCAGUUUCAGCUGAAGUAGUGUAUGCAUUUGGGGCAUUGUGGGCAGGCUUGAGUAGAGAUGGCUGUGCUGCGAGCAGCUUCAGUAGCUCUUCUGGCUUGCUAGCACGCUCGCUCCAUGCUAUCUCUGGCUUUCUAUUGAUCUCCAACUGUAGAUAAUCAUCACACUCUUUCUUUGAUCCUGCACUUCCAGCUUCAUGUAUGUGAUCAUCCUCCUGCACCAUAAUUUCAGAUCUUUUUGCGGCUUCACAAUUCUUUUGGCAGCUCUCUAUAGAAUUGGUUUGCUCGCAAGUACUAAAUUCUCGGAUUGGGUACCCCUCUUUCGCCGCUGUAAAUCUUUUACAAAUUGCAUCGGAGAACUCGCUCCAAUUCACCCUUGGUCGGUUAAAGAAAUAUGCUUGCUUCCAAAACUGUGCAUCACCCUCUAUGUGCAUGGACGCUAUGCCUAUCCAUUGUUGCUCAGGAACUUGGUAUCGGUCAAAAUACUGCUCGCAAUUUCGUAACCAUCCUUUUGGAUCUGUUCCGUUAAAAUCUGGGAAACUUAACUCCAUGUAUGGCAUGUACUGUUGCCGAUGAUUCUUCUCUGUCGGAACUUGCACUGUUAUCUCUUCUUCUCUAGCAUGCACAAAUCGGCUCCUAAUCAACUCUAGGAGUUGUUCAUGUCUGCGGGCAUUCUCCUGCAUCAUGAUUUCGUGCCUCCUUGCCUCUUCCUUUUGUAGUGCUUCAACUAAGACAUCUAACUUUUGAUUAACAACCCGAGCACUUUGUAAUGCUUCUUCAAAGCUUUGAUUAUAGCUAGUGGUUUGUUGCCGCAACCUUGUUCCAUUAGCCAUUUUGCCUUCUAUCCCUGGACAGCAACUAAUUCUUCUCUUGCCUUGGUACCAGCUACUAGUGAAUUUAAAUUCGUUGCCUCAUGCCGAACCAAUUUUGCUAAGCUAUACAAUGUGGGAUCUACCUGCUUGAGAAUUGUUCGCAGGAACCAGGUGGGAGCUUCACAAUCAAGCAGAAAUUAGCUCUGCUAGAACUGUGCGAAACUCAGAAUCAGUGUGAUUCCGCUACGGCUCCUUUUGUCGAGAUCCAGCCGAAGUCGAUUCUCGCAGCGCAGGUAGCUAUGUCGCAACUGACUCUACAAUUCUAAGAAUCGGAAUCAAGCGACUAUCGCAGCACCGAUCCCUGGGAUCUCACUUCUCUUGGUUUCGAAUUUGAACUCUUUUUUCCAAUUGUUGCCCCUCGACGCUACUGUGAUUGCUUCACUCUUGUUUGGUCUGAAAUUAACACCUGCUACAGUAAUUCGGCCGAGGUGCCAAUGAUGCUUGUCUGAGGCCUGGUGCUGUUCUAAUUGCAAUAGAACCAGCACUAGUCCUUGCUACUACCUCGGUACACCCUCGUGUGAGCCUUCUGUUGCUUAAUUAUGCUAGUUGGUUGAUGUUACCUGUUGCGCCUCCACUGUUCGAAGUAAUUCCUCAUAGGUGCUGAAACUCCAACGUUCUUGCUCCUGUUGAAUUCCCGCUGCCCACGGCCCUGGGACAGUGCCGCUCUGAUACCAAUUGUAAUAUCCCUUAUGGCUCGGAUCAGGUUCUUGGUGCUUCCGGUCGCGGAUCCGAGGUAACGUAAUCGGUAACCGAGGCUAGAGAGGUAAGGAAAUAGAGAUAGAAAUUGGGAUUGAGAUAGAGAGAAGAGAAAUAGAGGUAGAGAGAUAGACAGAUGAGGAUUGAGAGGUAAGGGUUAGGGAAAAGAGUUGGGAUAGAGAUAAGGGAUAGAGAAGAAGAAGGGUUUGGAGAAGAACUUUUGGGGGAGAAAUAGACUAAUUCAUUUUUAUU